UUGCCAGCCCGCUCAGAAACUCAAAGGAAUUGACGGGGGCCCGCACAAGCGGUGGAGUAUGUGGUUUAAUUCGAUGCAACGCGAAGAACCUUACCUGGUCUUGACAUCCCGGAGACCCUUAGGAAACUAGGGGGUGCUUCCAUCUGGAAGAAUCUGGAGACAGGUGCUGCAUGGCUGUCGUCAGCUCGUGUCGUGAGAUGUUGGGUUAAGUCCCGCAACGAGCGCAACCCUUGCCUUUAGUUGCCAGCAGUUCGGCUGGGCACUCUAAAGGGACUGCCGGUGUUAAACCGGAGGAAGGUGGGGAUGACGUCAAGUCCUCAUGGCCUUUAUGACCAGGGCUACACACGUACUACAAUGGCCGAUACAAAGGGCAGCGACACUGCGAGGUGAAGCCAAUCCCGUAAAAUCGGUCUCAGUCCGGAUUGGAGUCUGCAACUCGACUCCAUGAAGUUGGAAUCGCUAGUAAUCGUGGAUCAGCAUGCCACGGUGAAUACGUUCCCGGGCCUU
Molecule: ribosomal RNA, 507 nt
Filed under: uncultured Desulfobulbus sp.
Lineage: Bacteria; Pseudomonadati; Thermodesulfobacteriota; Desulfobulbia; Desulfobulbales; Desulfobulbaceae
Description: bacterial SSU rRNA
Rfam family: Bacterial small subunit ribosomal RNA
Source: RNAcentral